This is a long non-coding RNA of Haliotis rubra (blacklip abalone), 327 nucleotides long. RefSeq lists it as uncharacterized. NCBI's taxonomy places the organism in Eukaryota, Metazoa, Mollusca, Gastropoda, Lepetellida, Haliotidae. The record is from RefSeq and is a predicted model, not a curated record. The transcript is spliced from 3 exons.
UCCAGGAUUGGCCUUUGUUGUGUAUCCAGAAGCUUUAUUCCAACUUCCAAUGCCACAAGUCUGGUCAUUUCUAUUCUUCCUGGUGUUGCUUACAGCCGGACUUGAUUCACAGUUUAUGAAUAUUGAGGUCCUUACAACAGCCAUGGUAGACAAAUAUCCAGCCGCUUUAACCAAAAGACGCCAUCUUGUGACAGCCGGUGUGUGCGGGAUAAGCUUCUUGCUUGGGAUUGUAUUAUGCACAGAGGGAGGACCCUACAUAUACCAACUGCUGGACUGGUAUUUGGGCGCCUUAUCCAUACUGCUAUUUUGUACACUGGAAUGCUUGGC